Non-coding RNA from Dermacentor andersoni, 241 nucleotides. The record is from RefSeq and is a predicted model, not a curated record. NCBI's taxonomy places the organism in Eukaryota, Metazoa, Arthropoda, Arachnida, Ixodida, Ixodidae.
AUGGGUCACUCACGAAAUACCGCAAAAACAAUGUAGUGAAGAAUUUAGUCUAUGGACACACGAACAGUACACGGUGCGAUUGGAUGAAUAAUAACGUUGGCUGCUGCACAAAGAGAAAGGCCGGAGAAGCCAUCAUCUGGUGCUGUGUACAGCAAGCACAUGCUUCGGGCAAGGAGGGAGCCAGCACCAUAUCUACAUCAGCAAGAACCUCGGUGCUCAAAAUAAACAUUUUCUGUGCAAA